GCAAUGAUGGUUCAGUGGUAGAACACUCACCUUCCAUGCAUGGGACCAGGGUUUGAUUCCCGGCCAGUGCA
RNAcentral lists this transfer RNA (71 nucleotides) under Loxodonta africana (African savanna elephant). It matches the Rfam family "tRNA". Rfam says of the family: Transfer RNA (tRNA) molecules are approximately 80 nucleotides in length. Their secondary structure includes four short double-helical elements and three loops (D, anti-codon, and T loops). Lineage: Eukaryota; Metazoa; Chordata; Mammalia; Proboscidea; Elephantidae. The record is from Rfam by way of RNAcentral.